This is a non-coding RNA of Podarcis lilfordi (Lilford's wall lizard), 79 nucleotides long. The record is from the annotation of a GenBank genome assembly. NCBI's taxonomy places the organism in Eukaryota, Metazoa, Chordata, Lepidosauria, Squamata, Lacertidae.
UCCACCAAGUCUCAGUUGGUAGAUCAUGAGACUUUUAAUCUCAGGGUUGUGAGUUUGAGCCUCACAUUGGGCAAAGGAU